AACGUAGGAGACAAACGUUAUCCGGAGUUACUGGGCGUAAAGGGCGUGUAGGUGGUUUCGUAAGUCUGGCGUGAAAUUUUUCGGCUUAACCGGGAAAGGUCGUCGGAUACUGCGGGACUAGAGGACGGUAGAGGCGUGUGGAAUUCCGGGUGUAGUGGUGAAAUGCGUAGAGAUCCGGAGGAACACCAGUGGCGAAGGCGACACGCUGGGCCGUACCUGACACUGAGAGACGAAAGCUAGGGGAGCAAAUGGG
This 253-nucleotide ribosomal RNA is filed under the name uncultured bacterium. RNAcentral's name for it is "partial 16S ribosomal RNA". It matches the Rfam family "Bacterial small subunit ribosomal RNA", at positions 524 to 776 of the family's 1533-position model. The record is from RNAcentral.